RNAcentral lists this non-coding RNA (148 nucleotides) under Homo sapiens (human). Lineage: Eukaryota; Metazoa; Chordata; Mammalia; Primates; Hominidae. The record is from Rfam by way of RNAcentral.
GCCAGGUGUUGUGGAGCACGCCUGUAAUCCCCGCUACUCAGGAGGCUGAGGCAGAAGAAUCGCUUGAACCCAGGAGGCGGAGGUUGCAGUGAGCCAAGAUUGUGCCACUGCCUUCCAGCCUGAGUAACAGAGUGAGAUUCCGUCUCUC